RNAcentral lists this small nuclear RNA (126 nucleotides) under Heterocephalus glaber (naked mole-rat). Its description in RNAcentral is "U2 spliceosomal RNA (ENSHGLG00100035967.1)". It matches the Rfam family "U2 spliceosomal RNA". Rfam says of the family: U2 is a small nuclear RNA (snRNA) component of the spliceosome (involved in pre-mRNA splicing). Complementary binding between U2 snRNA (in an area lying towards the 5' end but 3' to hairpin I) and the branchpoint sequence (BPS) of the intron results the bulging out of an unpaired adenosine, on the BPS, which initiates a nucleophilic attack at the intronic 5' splice site, thus starting the first of two transesterification reactions that mediate splicing. Lineage: Eukaryota; Metazoa; Chordata; Mammalia; Rodentia; Bathyergidae. The record is from RNAcentral.
AUCACUUCUCGGCCUUUUGGCUAAGAUCAAGUGUAUAAAUAAUUUCUUUUUGGGAUUUUUUUUUUUUUUUGGCACCAGGGAUCGAACUCGGGACCUUGCACUUGCGAGGCAGGUGCCGGAACCAUU